AGCUGCUAAGGGUUCUCUGGAGCCCGUGCGUCUGAACCUAUGAUAUAAGACAUCAUAGUGCAAAAGAAAAGCAUCAUCAGUACUUUGAAUAUAGUGGUAUGCUCAGUGAGGUAGGGUGAAAUGAAUGGGUUCAUAUGCAUGAAAAAUACUAACUAAAUAACAUAAGUAUAAUUGAAUGAGAGUACAUGCAUGAAUAUGUAGACUGUAACUGAGAUCAAGAUAACACUAACUACUGAGUCUGAAUACUAAUUUACUAAUAUCUGAGUUUACUGAUACUACAUUAUUAAUAACUAGAUGAUUGUAUCUGACAGUCUUGAUUUUGUGGAACUAUACUGAGUUCCGUACAGAGCUGACUGACUAUAACUAAUAUUCGUGAGUCUGUAGAACUGAACUGAGUUCUAUACUGAGACUGAAUCUGAAACUAAGACUAUAGGAGAUAAUCAUCUAAAUGACAUGCCCCUUUCUAAAUAGAUUAGGGUAACCUAUAACCCCAGUUGGAAGGGUGUCAAUACCAUGCCACAAGUAGAGACAAGUUGUGAGUUAACCCUCUUUGACAGGAAGCUCUUUCAUCAACCCACGCUGGUAGGAAAACUUGAACGAGAUGUAUUAACCCUCAUAAUAACUAGCAGUAAGAUAUCUCAACCUACACUGGCUACGUAGUUCUAUAAUGCAANNNNNNNNNNNNNGGAAUGCCUUUAUCCCUAGGUUCGCUCGGUGCUGAAUCCUACUCCCAACUGAAUAAACACUGAGUUGAUUUCUAGUUUGUACUAGGCUGGACUGAACUUUUACUAAAUUUAUAGAAUUUUUUAGACUGGCAGAAUACCACUGAAUGAGUUUACUGAGGUCCGAACUGAUUACUAAAUUAGACUAGACUAGUACUGAGUUAUUCCUGAGUCUUGUGACUGGCUGAGAGUACUACUAUUCGUGACAUAACUGACACUGCCUCUGAGUACACAGCUAAAUUAUCGGGUAUUAAAUACCCCCAGGACUCGAUAGCAUGAAAUUAAAUCAUAAUAUAGUCGUGAAAAGUAUAAUCAUGUUCACUUGGUCAUAACUCAUUCGUGGAGGCAUUUUAUCAAACACUUGCAUGAUACAAUUCGCACAUAAGCUGACAUGACAUGAUUUCCUUCUCUUAUUGGUUAACAUGAGCAAUUCAUCAAGAACUUAAUGAGCAUGAUACAUGUACAUAACAUUAAACACAAGUAAACAUCAUAAUUCAACUCCAACUUCAUAAUUUCAAGGGUUCGAUGUGGAUUCACAUGAUAUUACAUAUAUAUUAAUUAAUCCCACAUGAAAUUUAUCAUAAAACAUGGAUUAGAAUCCCAAUUAAUUAUUAUAAACAUGAAUUUAAUCAAACCCAACAUGAAAUUUAUGAAAACUAUAUACUUAAAGUUUAAAAAUAGUUUCUUGGACUCCAAGGGUUGAAGGAACCCUUGGAUGAACACUCCACAUACCUUAGUUGGUGAAUUUUUAAUAAUUAAUGGUGGAAUCUGAAGCAUUGAAUUUGAAUUUAAUUUGCCUAGGGUUUUUGUUCUUGAGCAAUUUGUGAAAGAAUGAAUAUAACUUGCUAAAAAUGGGCUAAAUUUCGUGUUAUGGGGGCAGAAGGGCAUGGAAAAAGACUUAAUUAACCCUGAGGAUGCUGCUUUUUAAUGAUUGGAAAUUGUGCUAUCGAUGCACAUACCGAUGCGCCGCAUCGUUAUCAUCGACGUGAUGACCAAUGUGUCACGUCAAGUCCGCAUUGGUUCACUGGAAUUUGCACUGAGAAGAAGGAAAAAUUAUCUGUCAAUACGAUGGAUAAUAUGACGCAUUGAUAUCGCGUCGACUCACUAUUUUGGUCACUCAAACAUGGUCUAAACGAGGUCUAAAAUAUCUAAAACUUAUCUGAGAACAGGUAUUGUCCUUCCUGGUCAUGAACUAUGUAAGACCCCAUAAAAUUCUUAAGAUUAAUUUAGUCCUUUAAGUUUGUCAAGGGGUCCCAGCCCUAGAAAAUUUUAGCUAAGUUCCCAGACUUAGUUUAUUUUGGCCUUCAAAAUUUGGAAAUCUUAUUUAGCCACCUUGAUGUUGGUCAUGUGUUCAAGAAGUGUCAUGCCUUGUCAGUUUCCUUCUAUCGAGUCUUGGGGGUACUUAUACCCAACAAUGUAGCUGUGUGCCUAAAGCCAGUGUCAGUUUUCAUGAUACUCUCAUUCAAACCAUAAUCAUUAGAAUUUAGUCAGUCUCAUGACUCAGGAAAACUCAGUAAAUUCUACUUAGUAAUCUCAGUAACCUCAGUAAUCUUUGUAAUCUCAGUAAUCCUAGUUAGUUAUCAGAUCUCAGUAAUAUUCUGUUAGUCAAUGUAAUUUAGUGAACUCAGUUCGAAUCAGUUAUACAAUACUAUAAGUAAUAGUUCAGUUUGGUUUAAAUUAGUUCUGUGUCUUUUCAGUUGGGAGUAGGAUUCAGCACCUAGAGAACCCAAGGAUGGGGACUCACCUGUUAGCCAGUAGAGGGUGUGAUCCUUAGAAACAAUCCUUGCGUUCCAGAACUACAUAGCCAUCAUAGGUUAAGCUAUACCCUAUGAGUUUAGGGAUUAUACACCUUAUUUGAGUUUUCCUACUAGGAGGGGUUGACGGAAGAGCUCCCUGUCAGAGAGGGUUUACUCACAGGUUAUCUUUUCCCAUGGUACGGUACUGACACCCUUCUAACUGGGGUUAUAGGUUGGACCCCAAUAGUUCAGUUCUGGGGCAUAUCGGUUAGAUAAUUACCUCCCACAAUCUCAGUUUCAGUCUCACUAAUAGAACUCAGAUAGUUCUACAGAAUUUAGGACUGUCAGAUGUGGUCACUCAGUACAGUAUAGUACUCAGCUAGUUCUAUCAGAACCUAGACUGUCAUACACAAUCACUUAGUACAGUACAGAACUCAGCUAGUUCUAUUAGAACCUAGAUUGUCAGACACAGUCGCUAAGUAUUCAUUAAAUCAGUUAUCAGUAACUUAUGUUAUCAGUAUUUAGUUUCAAGACUGUCAGAUACAGUCAAUCAUACCAGUUCUUCAUAACCAAAACUGUCAAAAAUAGUCAUUCCUUUAUGAGUAAUAUGACAUCAGUCCCUAAGUACUCUAUAGACUCGGUUAUUCAGUACCCCAGUAUUAGAACUAAGAUAUCACUAAAUCCAUAUGAUUAGAAUUCAUUAGUUAGUGUUUUCAUGGUCUCAUUUACAGUUAUGCAUUCAUGUAUGUAUUCUCACGUUCAUGUUAUUCAGUUAGUAAUGUUCAUGCAUAUGAACCCUUGUAUUCAGCCUUACCUCAAUUGCAUACCAGUACAUUUAAUCGUACUGACAUAUUUGUAUUAUGGUGUUUUAUUCUGUACCAUAGGUUUAGAAGCAUGAACUCCAAAGCAUUAGUAGCAUUUCCAGUUUCAGCAGUCAGAGUCAGCAAUGAGUCCUCUUCCUUCGAGGACAUGAUUAUUAUUUUAUUAUAUCAUUACUUAUCUUAUUUCAGUAGUUGGAGUUAGUUAGGGACAUGUCCCAUCAACUCCUUAUUCAGACAGUUUAGAGGCUUUUAGACUAUAGUAUGUUCAGAUAAUUUAUUUCUGUAUUGGGUAUUUCUAUACCUCACUCAGAUAUUAUUUUCUCAAUUAUGUUACAGUUUUGACUGCCUUGCAGCUUAUAUUAUGCAUCUUUACAGUAUAUAAAUACAUAUACAUAUAUAUGUGUGUGUAUAUUAUGCAGUGCUCAAGUACAGAUAUCAGUCAUGGUUUAGCUUGUGGUCCUUCAAGGUCAUGAGCACUGUGUAGAAUUCUGGGUACCAGAUUUGAGGAGUUAUAAACUUGGUAUCAGAGCCUAAGGUUCAACAGUGUCCUAGGAAGUUUGAAAACCCGCAUUUAGUAUACUCUUAUACAUGGGUGUGUUGUGCACCAUACUUAUGUGCAGGAGGCUAUGAGAUAUUUUAGGAACAGUUUCCCUUCUUUCAGUAUUCAUGUUGUUCCAGUGAGCAUAAGCUUGAAUUUAACUCUCAGUUAAACCGUUCUCCCUUUCGUUUAUAGAAUAUUCCUCCCAAACGGACUAAUGAAAGGAGAAUAGGAAAUCAGUCAGCACCUCUGCCCAUUCAGGCAGAUCCUCUGGAUGAGCACGUCUCUCAUGCAGAAUUCAGAACUCCAUUUACUACUCUAGACAAUUCAGUUACAACUUAGAACGAAUGAUCAGCUGUUGUUCCGGCCAACUCAGUGGCCAAUUCUGCUGCAACCAGGAUUAGGGACUUCACCCGAAUGAAUCCUCCCCUAUUCUCUGGUUCUAAGUCUGAAGAAGAUCCACAGGAGUUCCUCGAUCAAGUUCAGAAAGUCACGAAUAUCAUGGAAGUGACUUCCAGUGAGAGUGCAGUGUUAGCUGCCUAUCAGCUACAAGAUGUAGCCCAUAUCUGGUUUAAGCAGUGAAAGGUAGAUAGGGUACAGAUGCAGGGCCCAUAGAAUGGGAAGAGUUUGCUACGACUUUCUUAGAUAGAUUCUUUCCCCUAAAGUAGAAAGAAGCCAAAGUGUUAGAGUUCAUCAACCUCAGACAGGGUGGUAUGAGCCUAAAAGAAUACUCCUUCAAGUUUGCUCAGUUAGCCAGGUAUGUUCCCUAUGUAGUAGCAGAUAGUAGAUCCAUAAUGAGUAAGUUUGUGUUUGGGAUAUCAGGUGGAGUGGUUAAGGAGUGUAGGACUGUGAUGUUAAUUAAAGAGAUGGACAUAUAUAGGCUUAUGGUCCAUGCUCAAUAGAUUGAGGAGUAGAAACUUAAGAAGAAGGAGAGAGAAAAUAAGAGGUCCAAAACUGGUAGUCAAUAGUUUUUCCCAGCCAGGGUCGUAGGGUGGUAACCAUUCUCAGCACAGACAGAAGUUUCCAACCCCAAUUUUAUCUUCAGCUAGUGCACCAGUAUCAAAGUUCAGAAAUGACCAUAGAGAUAGGGCACCAGGCUUCAAGGCCCAGGGUAGUGAGAGCAGGGUUUUUAAUCAUCCACGUUGUGAAGAGUGUGGUAAGAAUCAUAAGGGUAUAUGUAGAGUCGGCAGUGAUAUGUGUUUUGAUGUGGCGAGAAAGGUCACAAAGUCCGAGAUUGUCCUAGGCUUGGUCCUCAAAGUCAGCACGAUUGUCCUUAAGCUCAUUCCAGAUGCCUAAAUCAGUAGGGUACAAAUUCCAGCACUAUCAAUGGGCAACGCCCAAACAGACUAUAUGAACUUCAGUCCCGAUAGAAUCAAGAAAGUCUUCCUGAUGCAACUACUAGUAUGUUACAAAUCCUCAUUUACAUGUUUUUGUUUCUUCAGAUUCAGGAGCUUCUUUUCUUUUGUAACUCUUUGCAUAGCAGUCAACCUUAAGGUUAGACCAAAUGUUAACAGGACCUUUUUCUAGUCUCCACCCUAACGAGUCAGUCUAACACAAUCCGACAGGUAUACAGGAACUGUUCGGUUAUAAAAUCUCAGAAAGUCAGGCCUUCAGGUUCUGAUCGUAAUGUCAAUAUGUGUAGAAAACCAAUAAGGAAAGAUAAUUCCUAACCCAUUCCUACCUUAAUGCAAAGUUUUGUAUUUCAACCCUCACGAUACCUAUGCAUGUUUUAUGUUUUGGUCCGACGAAUACAGCUUAUAUCCACGUGCACUUCAUAGAAUAGUAUGUGUUUUAAGUUCCUCGUAUGAGGAGUUCCAUUUCACUUAGUGUUACAAAUUAUGUCCCAUGAACAUAUAGAAAUUCCAGACUCAGUUCAUGCAGCUCAUGACUCAUGACUCAUCCACUCAUGUCAUGCUUUAUAGUAUGCUCAGCCCACAUGACUCAUGCUCUACUUCUAGUGAUUAGCCAAGCUUAGAUUAUGUUAUGCAUACCCUCAAUUUAGGGUCCUCGGUGAAUCUGUAGUGUUAAUGUUCCAUCCUGCAUGCCUCAGUUACAACGUCAGUUCAGUAAUCAAUAUUUAGUAAAGGACUUAGAUAGUCCUACAAAACCAUGGCUUUCAGCUAUCAGUUACUUAGCCAUCAUAAUUCAGUACUUCCGUACCAGUCUAAACCUCAGUUAUAGAAAACCAGCAUUCAGUCUCAAUUACCGUCUUAACUAUAAUCUUCUUCCCAGUCCCAAGUUUAGUAAGAUCAAAAACUCAGUCCAGUUUCAAGAUUACCCGACCAUAUCAUAUGGCCAUCAGUUACUCAAUUAUUAGUAUUAUAGUACCUCAGUUUACAGAAUGCUUCCAAAUUAUGUUAGACGCCCGGUCUUAUGUUUCUAAGGUAAUACAGUUUUCCCUCACUCAUGCUUAAUUACCUCAUAUUACCCAGUUAGUCGUUACCUUCUAUGCAUAAUACUCUAUAGUUUCAGUCCAGCUAUCCCAAACCAAGUGCAGUUCAGUUUUACAUAUCCAGUAUUUAGCUACCAGUUAUUUAGUUAAUCAGAUAAGUUAGUAUACUUAUGCAUUCUUGCUCAGUGCCCAUGUGAAUCUUUUCAAUAGUCUCAGUUGCAGUGCAUAAAUUUUACUCACCUUAUCGUAGACAAUGUUUCAUAGGCGUUACCUCCUAAUACAAAAAUCCCAGCCAUGUAGUGAUCUCCUAUUUAGAUGUCCUACUCAGGCCAGAUCAAGAUUCAGUUUCUCCCUUCAGUCACUAGAACUCUAUAGAAAGAAUGUCAUAGGAAUGAUCCAGUCGAAUACAAGUUUUCAGCAUGAGUUAGUCCGUAAAGCCAGUAAUUUAAUUUAAUAGUCAGACGGAUAAGUUCGGAUAGUGUGGUUUCCCUAUCUUUCCAUUUAGUCGCACUAUCCGGAGUCUCAUGAAUGUGAUCAUUCUAAAAUGGACCAACUAGGUAGUUGCGUGUUCAACUUGACUUAUGUAUCAUGCCUUAGUUUUAGAUUUUAGAUAAUCAGUCGCGAUUCAUUUCCUAAGAGCUUUGUGCAUCGUCUCAGUUUCCUUAAUAUCUCAGCAAAGUCAGCCCAACAUUCUCCAAGGGAUAUAGUGUCCCAAGGGGCAGAUACACUAUAAUCCCCCAAACUUUUAUGACUUAAACAUGUCACUCUCUCUUCUCGUAAUGAGUCCAGUUUUGAAUAAGGGAUACUUUUGAGUUGACCCUCAAACUCCGACCUCAAUUGUAAGCCCUGUAUUCAAGGUGCUCAGUUCAGAUCACGAUAUCCAGGUCGGGUGUUACGUUUCUGACUUAGUUAUGUUCUUAUGUUUCUGCCCAGGCAUAUUUGGUAGUUAAUCUCAGACUCACCAGCAUUUUUCAGUUUAAGGUAACAGUCUUCCUUGAACUCAUCCAGUUUCAAGUUCAGGUUUCAAUUACAAACUCAGUAUUUAGUUCCAUGUUCAAGUUCCCAUCAUAAUUAGGGUAUCAAAUACUAUUGCAUAUUAAGUCAUGCAUUCAUGUAUCAGUUCAGUCAUAUAAUCAUGCAUCAGAUAUGCAUUCUAAUGGUGAGAAACUCAGAUUAUCAUAAAUCUCAAUCAUGCAUUCAUGAACAAGUUACACAUGCAUCAAAUAUGCAUGUUUAGUAUGAUAUAUAUAUUCAUCUUAUCAGUUAUAUCAUUUAUGGAUCAGUAUGUAUGUCAGUUAUCUCUUCUUCCCUCUCAGUCAGUCUUAUUCGAGGACGAAUGUUCUUAAGGGGAGAUAUUAUAAGACCCCAUAAAAUUUUUAAGCUUAAUUUAGUCCUUUAAGCUGGGCAAAGGGUCCCAAACUUAGAAAAUUUUAGCUAAGUUCCUAGACUUUGUUUAUUUUGGCCUUCAAAAGUUGGCAAUCUCAUUUCGCCACCUUAAUGUCCUUUAAUUGUUCGUAUUUUCUGUUAAUUCAUGAUCAAAGAUGUCAAUAGUUGUUUUCGAAAAAGUUUUGGGUUUUAUGGAACACAUUUAGGUCAUGUUUGGAGUCCCAAAAUAGUAGACCAACGCAAUUUUGGCACGCCGCAUCGCCAAUCACGCUGGUCAACAUUUGUGCAGGCUACCAGAGCCAAAACUUUUGAGGCUCAACACAAACAUGGCACUACGUGUCGAGUAUCGCAUCACAACCACCAAUGCGCCGCAUCGAUAAUAGCAUCAAUGCCGAGUUUAAGUCAUUAAAUGUUCAUGUUUUUAAGGGCAAAAGGGUUAAUUUUCCACACCUAUAUAAGUCUAAAACUUGUAAUUCAGCCCUAUUCCACCCAAAAUAUAGUGUCUCUCUCAAGUUUCUCUCAAGAACAAGUUAGGGUUUUCAAUUGUGGAUCCAAAUCCAAGAAAAUUCCACCAUCAAUCUUUGUAGAAUCAAGGACUAAGGUAUGCAUAGUGUUCAUUCAUGGAUUCCUUUCAUCCAUGAAGCCCAAGAAUCAAGUUUUAAAUCAUGUAUUAUGAAUAUUUUGUUGUGUGUUGAUCAUGUUCAUGAGAUUAUGAUUAUGUGAUUCCCAAGUUGGAAUCUUUAUUUGUUUUUAUGAAACUAUGUUAGCAUGCAAGUUGAAAACUAUGAACUUAGUUGGUUAUGAUGUGUAAAUUUAAUGAUUAUGCCUAUGCCCUAAGUGGUGCAUGUAAGGUGUUUGAUAAAAUGCCUAAGAGAUAGAAAUUAUGCAUUAUAUCUUAAUUAUGACCCAAACAAUAAAUACAUGUUUUACCCGUAUGUUCAAAUGACUCCCAUGUUAUUAUUAUGCCAUGUAAUUUCUUGAUGGGAUGUUCAUGAGGGUAGAAUGAUAAAAUCUUGUCAUGUUUAUAUGCAUUCCUACCAUGUACAAGAUUAUGAUAACUAUGGGCUUUAUGAAAUCCCCAACUUAUUGUAUUAUGGAUUGUUGAUGUUGGUCAUGUGUUCAAGAAGUGUCAUGCCUUGCCAGUUCCUACUAUCGAGUCCUGGGGGUACUUGUACCCGAUAAUUUAGCUGUGUGCCUAGAGCUAGUGUCAAUUUUCAUGAUACUCCCAGUCAAUCCAUGAUCAGUAGAAUUCAGUCAGUCUUAUGACUCACGAAAACUCAGUAUCAGUCUAGCCCUAAUCAAUAAUCUCAGUAAUCUUUGUAAUCUCAGUAAUCCCAAUCAGUUAUCAGAUCUCAGUAGUAUUUCAUCAGUCAACGAAAUUUGGUGAACUCAGUUCGAAUCAGUUAUACUAUACUAUGAGUAACAAUUCAGUUUUAUUUAAAUCAGUUCUAGGUCUUUUCAGAUAGGAGUAGGAUUGAGCACUGAGAGAACCCAAGGAUGGGGACUCACCUGUUAGCCAGUAGAGGGUGUGAUCCUUAGAAGCAAUCUUUGAGUUUCAUAACUACGUAGCCAGUGUAGGUGGAGAUUUACCCUACGAGAUUAGGGAUUAUACACCUCAUUUAAGUUUUUCUACUAGGAGGGGUUGACGGAAAGCUCCCUGCCAGAGAGGAUUUACUCACAGCUUGUCUUUACCUUUAGCACGGUACUGACACCCUUCUAAGGCUAGCAACAUAACCGAAAAAUUCUGUUCCGGUCCGCCAACUUUGGUUCCUCUAGGUUUCUGAUUCCGGUAAGCAACGGUUCCGGUUGGGUCCGAUAUACCAAUACCCAAUGGUUUGGAUAAUGUUACCAGUGCGGAACAUCAAAAAAUAUGGUAUUUCUGGUUCCAAUUAACCGGUUUUCGUACCGAUUGAGAAGAUUCCGGUCCGGCGAAUGCAUUAAUUUCUAUUUUUUUUAAUUGAGAUUUGGUUGGCAACAGCUCUUUUGUCCGUUGAUUUCUAGUCCUUGCCCCCCCCUCUUUCCCAAUUACCCCACCCCUUCUCAAUUACCCCACACCAUCCCUUAAAAUUUUCAUUAUAAAUAUCCUUCUUUUCAAUUCUUUUUUCACACAAAUAUUAUCAAUUCUCACACUCUCUUUUAAUAUCACAUUCGCUCUAAAUAUUUAUAAUUGUUAUAUUAGUUGGAGUUGAAGAUUCAAUUAUUAUAUUAGUUGGAUUUGAAGAUUUUUUGAAGAUAUUAUAACCUUCAAUUAUCAUUUUUAAUUCCGACAUUUGGUAUACGUCUGCUUUUACGCAGAUGUUCGGUAUAAUCGUUCCAACUUUAAGCUCUUUUUAUUUUCGUUAAUAUCUAUAUUUUAAUUUUUUAGUAUCUUUAUUUUUUUACUUACAUUAAUUUUGUAAUUUAUAAUAUUUGUAUUUCUUGUGUUAAUAUUUUAAUUUAAAUUAUGAAUUUCAAAAAAAAUACUAGUGGUAAAAAGCCAAACUUUGGUAAGGUUUUUCGUAGAAAGAAAAAAAGUAAGGCUAGUACUAGUUCAUUACCGCCUACAUUUAAUGAAACUUAUUUAUCACAAUCUAAUGUUUUCGAUAUUGGUAUCGGUAUGGAAUUAGAUAAUGAGACCCUAAGUAGGCAUUAUAGUAAUUUUAAGGAAGACUUACCGGAGGAAGAUGAUAUAGAAGAACAAGAGUUAGGUGAUACCCCUACCCCUACUAGUACGGUUAUGGAAUUACCGAAAUACAGUGAAGAACUUCCCCCUUUACCGAAAUUUACUAGGGCCAAAGGUACCGAACAUACAAAAAGGUCUUUAGUUUGGAAAUUCAUGGAGCAUGAUAGGGUAAAAGGUAUUGCUACUUGCAAUAAAUGCAAGAGUAUUUUUAAACAUUUGACCGAGGGAAAAAAUGACGGGACAGAAUUGCUAACUACGCAUUUGAUGAGAUGUAAUAAAGAAUUUAUUCGUCUAAAAAAUGAGGCUAAGACAAAAAAAGAUGGUACAACAUUUGUACAUGAAUCUUUAGGAGGUAAUAUGGGUCAAACGUAUUUAGACAUGUUUAACCCCGCUGAAGCAAGUUCAUCAUUGACAUAUAGUGAAGAUGUAUAUAGAGAAGAACUAGAGAAAAUGGUUGCUUUUAUGGGUUUGUAUUUUAGUUUUCCUUCGCAUCCCAGUUUUAUUCGUUAUAUUCAACAACUAUAUAAUCCCUCUUUUAAAGGUUUUUCACAAAUUACAAUUAAAAAUGAUAUUUUUAAAUUUCAAGAUGAACAUUGUCAUUUUCUUCAUUGCUUAUUUGAUAAAUUUGAUGGUAGAAUAUUUGUUACUUCUGAUAUAGGUACUAGUGUUGUCGGUAAUGAUUAUUUUACUCUCACGGUUCAUUGGAUUAAUCACAAUUGGAACAUGCAAAAAAGAAUUACUGCUUAUAAAUAUGUUGACGAGUCUAAAACCAGUAUGUAUAUAGCUAGUACAAUAGCGGAGAGCAUGAAAUAUUUCAGAUUUAUUGGUAAACCUAUGCCAUGGACAUUAGAUAAUGCUUCUAAUAAUUUGAAAGUUAUUGACGAGUUAAAAACUAGAUUAUGUUUAAUGAAUGAAGAUCAUUUUCAUGUUAGAUUAACUGUACAUAUUUUAAAUUUGAUAGUACAUGAUGGUAUUCAUUUGUUUGGAAAUGGUUGUCUUAAAGUGCGAAUUGUUUGUAGUUAUAUGUUUAAAAAUAAAAGAAAGGGUGUAAUAGAUGAUUUUAAACGUAAAUGUAAACAACGUGACCUUCCAUAUAGAAAAGUUCCAAAAGAAAUUCCUACUAGAUGGAAUUCUUUGUUUCAAAUGUCUGAAGUUGUUGUUAUAUAUCGUAAACCUAUACAAUUAGUUUAUAAUUCUUAUAAUGAGGAUGUUAAUUUAAUGCUAGAUGAAGAUGAUUGGACUGAAGUAGAAGAACUUUGUAAAUUUUUGAAAACUUUUUAUCAAGCUACGAACUUAGUAUCUACUUAAUAUACUCCAACUAUUUCUUAUGUUUUAGUAACUAUUACUGUUAUUUCUAAAGUACUUGCUGAAUAUAAAAAAAAUAUGUCCUAAAAAAGAGGCAAUUUAAGCUAUGAUUGAAAACUUUAAAAAAUAUUAUUUUCCUAUUCCACAAUUUCUUUUAACAAUUAAUUUAUUAAACCCAUUUUAUAAAGAACAUGGUACAGUGAUGUUGGUCAAAAAAUUAUACAACAAUUUAGAAAUGGGACGUCAUGAAAAGCCAUCAGUUGAAACUUAUUGUGCUAGCAUAUUAUCUACAGCUAGGAGUUUUAUAACUUGUAUCAAGUUAUGGAACAAAAUAUUAGGUCGAUCGAACCUCCUACUUCUAGAAGUAGAUAUGAUGAUUUAGAUGACGAGAUGGGCGAAGAACUUGGUAUUCAAUGUUAUAGGAGUAAUGAUUUUGAUUCGUAUCUUUCACAGGAUUGGAAAAAUAUUAGAGAUAAAACAGGAAAACAACAACUUUUGUCGUGGUGGAGGACCUGUACAGACAGUUUCCAAAACUUUCAAGGAUGGUUCGAGAUUUGCUAUCAACUCAAGCUUCUUCAGUUGCUUCGGAGCAAGCUUUCAUCACAGGAAGAUUUAAAAUAGGAUAUCAACGGUAUUUGUUAGCAAGGGAUAGUUUGGAGAUUUCAGUAUUAUUUAGAGAUUGGAUCAAUGCCAAACGAAGAAAUUUUGGGCUCCCCAAAUUACCGCCCCAUAUUGAAGACGAAAAAGAUGAAAUUUUUUAGGAAAAUAGUGAUGAUGGAAUGGAAGCAAUGUAGGAACAAGGAAAUAGACGAAUUCCAAAAGAUUUAUCUGCCGAAGAAAUAAAAAAGUUACGCCAAAAAAAUUAUAGACAAUUUAGAUAUUAAUAAGAUCUACAAUAGAGAUCUAAUUCAAAUAGAACCCUUCCUAGAAGGUGGUUGCGUAGAUUAGAUUUUCAUUUAAUAUAUUUGUAAUAAAUGUACAACGUACAAAAUUUGAAUAAAUAUAAUGGCUAUUCACCUAAUUUUGUUUUAAAAUUUGUCUUUUGUUUGUUGUAAUAAUUUUGUUUGUUAGCAAAUUUUCUAACUUCUUAAACUUAUUAAAAAUAUUAUAUUGACUUAAACUUAUAUUUUUUAUGUUAAAAUUUUAAACUUUUUAAGAUAUAUUAAUAAAUUAUAUAAAUUAUAUAAGUUAUUAUAUAUAUAAAACUUAUAUAUUAAUACCAUUAAGUUAAGAUAUAGAUAAUUUAAAUUAAAAUUGUAAAACAAAAACUGUAUUACUGUACACUAUGUCAUCUAUUUCGGUAAUUCUAGUAUCGCUCCGGUGUCACUUCGGUCCACAUCGGUAGCAAGCGGACCGGUCCGACCAAUGAAAAAAUUUCGGUAAGACCGGUUCCAGUAACACCGGUUCCGGCAGCAAAAAUGGUAAGGAAGUUCCGGUAUCGGUUCUGGUAUCGGUUAAAUUGGUCCGGCAUUUCAGUUUUGGUCCGUUGCAGCCCUACACUCUUCCAGCUGGGGUUACAGGUUGGACCCCACCAAUUCAGUUUUGGGGCAUGUCAGUUAGAUGACUACCUCCCACAGUCUCAAUUUUAGUCUCAAUCUCUAUAAUAGAACUCAGAUAGUUCUACAUAAUUCAAGACUGUCAGAUGGGGUCACUCAGUACAGUACGAAACUUAGCUACUUCCAUUAGAACCUAUACUAUCAGAUACAGUCACUCAGUACAGUACAGAACUCGGCUAGUUCCAUCAAAACCUAGACUGUCAGACACAGUUGCUUAGUAUCUAUUAUAUUAGUUAUCAGUAACUCAUGGUAUCAGUAUUCAGUUUCAGGACUAUCAGAUAAAGUCAAUCAGACCAGUUCUUCAUAACCAGAACUGUCAGAAAUAGUCAUUCCUGUAUGAGUAAUAUGACAUUAGUCCCUAAGUACACUAUAGACCCAGUUAUUCAGUACCCCAAUAUAAGAACUCAGAUAUCAGUAAAUCUAUGUGAUCAAAAUUCAUUAGUUAGUGUUAUCACGGUCUGAUUUAUAGUUACGCAUUUAUGUAUGUAUUCUCAUGUCCAUGUUAUUUAGUUAGUAAUGUUCAUUCAUAUAGACCAUUUCAUUAAGCCUUACCUCGCUUGCAUACCAGUACAUUCAAUUGUACUGAUGUAUUUGCGCUAUGGUGUUUUAUUCUAUACCAUAGGUUUAGAAGCAAGAACUUCAGAGCAUCAGUAUCAUUCCAGUUUCAGCAGUCAGAGUCAGCAGUGAGUUCUCUUCCUUCAAGGACAUGAAUAUUAUUUUAUUAUUUCAUUACUUAGUUUAUUUCAGUAGUUGGAGUUAGUUGGGGACAUGUCCCAUCAACACCUUAUUCAGAUAGUAUAGAGGCUUUCAGACUAUAGUAUGUUCAGAUAGUUUAUUUUAGUAUUGGGUAUUUUUAUACCUUGCUCAGAUAUUAUUUUCUCAGUUAUGUUACAGUUUUGCACCUUACGGCCUUGCAGCUUAUAUUUCGCUUCUUUACGGUAUAUAUAUAUAUAUGUAUAUUAUGCAGUUCUCAGGUACAGAUAUCAGUCAUGGUUAGCUUGUGGUCCUUCGGGGUCAUGAGCACCGUGUAGCAUUUUGGGUACUAGAUCAGGGGUGUUACAAACUAACUCAGAUAUCAACAUUUAAUGGAUAAAAUGGUUGCAAAAUAAGAUUGCCAACUUUCAAAGGCUAAAAUAACACUAAGUCUGAAUACUUAGCUAGAAUUUUCCAAGUCUGGGACCCCCUUAACAAGCUUAAAGGACUGAAUUAAGCUAAGAAUUUUGCGGGAUCUUACAAUAUUAAGGCCUAAAAUUUAAUCUCAAAAAGGUGCAUCUAUCAUCGAGUUUGAAUCAAAGACACUAAGUCAAAGGCUCCAACAGUUCAGUCAUUUCGUAUGGUCAAUGAUUUUCCUAAAGUUUUUCCCAAAGAUUUGCCAGGGGUACCUUCUGAUAGGGAAAUAAAAUUUGGUAUUGACCUUCUUCUAGAUACUCAAACCAUCUCCAUUCCUCCAUAUCAUAUGGCUCCAUCUAAGCUUAAGGAGUUAAAAUAACAGCUUAAAGAUCUUUUAUAUAAAGGUUUCAUAAGGCCCAGUGUCUCUCCAUGAGGUGAUCCCCUCCUUUCGUGCAAAAGAAAGAUGGUUCUUUGUGAAUGUGCAUUGAAUAUCAUCAAAUGAAUAAGGUCACAAUCAAAAACAAAUAUCAUGUUCUUAGGAUUGAUGACUUAUUCGACUAACUCAAAGUUGCCAGUUACUUCUCCAAGAUAGACCUUAGAUCCGGGUAUCAUCAGCUUAGAGUAAGGGAAUGUGAUAUUCUAAAGACAUCUUUCAGAACUCGUUAUGGUAACUUCGAGUUUCUAGUCAUGUCCUUAAGGUUGACAAAUGCCUUAGCAGCCUUCAUGGACUUAAUAAACUGAGUAUUCAAAUAGUAUUUAGACAUGUUUGUCAUAGUCUUUAUCGAUAAUAUUCUUGUCUAUUCUCGUAGUGAGGAUGACUAUGCAGACCAUCUUAGAAUUGUGUUGCAAACUCUUAGGGACCACCAUUUGUUCGCCAAAUUCCAUAAAUGUGAAUUUUGGCUAAGAUCGGUGGCUUUCCUUGGUCAUAUUGUUCCAGUGAUUACAUUAGAGUUGAUCCCCAAAAGAUAGAAGUAGUAAGAAACUGACCUAGACCUAUUUCUCCAUCAGACAUCAGAAGUUUCUUCGAUUUAGUUUGCUAUUACAGACAUUUUGUUGAGGGAUUUGUCUAUUAUGUCCCCCAUAUCUAGAUUCACUCACAAAAAAGUUAAGUUUCAGUGGUCAGAUUCCUGUGAGAAGAGUUUUCAGGAGUUGAAAACUCAACUCACUUCAGCUCCAGUUUAGCACUACCUGAUGGUACAUAUAGGUUUGUUGUCUAUUAUGAUGCUUCUAGAAUCGGUCUGGGUUGUAUUUUGAUGCAGGGGGUAAGGUUAUAGCCUAUGCCUCUAGAUAGCUUAAGCCUCACGAAAAGAACUACCCAUGAUCUUGAGUUAGCUAUUGUUAUAUUUGCAUUGAAGAACCUCCCUAUAGAAAACAGUAAAGAAUAACAGAAAAGCUUUUAGAAACUAACUGUAAAGGCUUACGAUUUUAUCAAAUAUUGUUUUAUAUAAAUCAUUAUCUAUAAGAUUACAACAUUCAGUUUAUAGAUACAGAGGUGAGUCCUUUUACACUUAGCAUGUAUGAUUUGAAAAACAUAUUUCAAGCACAUAUUUAGAACUAAGUGUGGUCGCUCACAGCAUUCAUAUAGUAUGUUUUGUUAUUAAUGAUUUAUGAUUACAGCUUUUAAUUACUCAAGCCAAAGUGAGCCAUUAUUACUUAGCAUGCAUUAUUUAUGAGAAAGAUAUAUGUAUUCCUUCACUGUUUUACUAUGCAUUUCACCUCUGUAUGCUCAGUACAUUCUAGAAGUACUAAUCCACAUAUACGUCUGUGUCGCACAUCGUUUAAUAAUAUAGGUUCAGUUGCUCAAUUACAACAGUGUGGGUGAUUUCAUGCAUCUCCAUCUACAUCCAGAUAGUUGGUGAGUCCUCAUAGUUUGGGGACCUAGUUAUUCAGAUUUUCUAUCUAAUUGCAGUAGUGAUUCAAUAUUUUCAGUCAGUUUAAGUCGGUUGCGGGUUUGUCCUAGUGGCUCUCUAGUUAUUAGUAGUAGAGGCUUGUCAGACUGCUAGUUAAAAUUCAGAUUCCAGUGUUAAUUAUCCAGAAUUUUAAGUCAAGUAUUUUAGGAUAUUAUGUUUAGAUAAUUUCAACUUAGAUCAGACAGAUUUUCGCAUUGAUUAUAUGUUUACAUUUCCCCAUUUUGAGUUACAGAUUUAGUAGAAGUCUUAUAGGGUUAGCUUGAGGCUACUCGUAGUCUUGAGCACCGUGUGACAUCUUAGGACCCUUUUUCGAGGUGUUACACCACUAUUAGAAGAUCUAUGGUUUUUCCUCUGAUUUUAAAUUCAUUAAAUCUAAAAAAUAUCAAAAGGGACCUUUUGCAAGUAAUGUUUUUAACAUAGGGAAACAAUUUCAAUAGACUACAGGGAAUGUCACAUAUCUGAACUCUUUAAGCCAAGAUAAUGUUGCGCAACUCUUGCAACUUUUACAAAAGUUGAAUCAUAAAGAUGUAGGAAAUGUAGAUGCAUCUUCAAACAUAACUUAUGCUUGUAUGGCUAAGUUCUUUAAUUCUUCUGCUUUUUGGUUUACAAUUGGUGAUUCUUGGAUAUUAGAUAGAGGAGUAUCUAAGCACAGGACUUUUGAUAAAAAAAUAUUUUAAAGUUUUAAUCUUCUUUAUAAACCUGUAACAUUAACUCUUCCUAACUCCCACAAGGUAAAAGUUACUCAUUCAGGAUCAAUUUCUCUCCUACAUUAUCUUACUCUACAAAAUAUUUAAUGGAUUCCAUCUUUUAGGUUCAAUCUAAUUUCCAUUCAUAACUUGUGUAAACAACUUCAGAAAUUUAUUCUUCUCACCCCAAACUGUAGUUUCAUGUUGCAGGACCCUUCACUGAAUAGCCCUCAGGUGCUUUGUAGAGAGCAGGAAGUUCUAUAUAUUCUUAAAUCAAGUUAUCUAGAAGUUUCUACAAAGAGCCUACCAAGUUUUAAUCCUCACAGUAUUUUAUUUUAUAAUUCUUUAGGAGAUAAAUUUACUUCUUAUUCAAGUUGUUUUGAUUCCAAUGUAAAUGAAAAACUAUGGCACUAUAGAUUAUUGCCAAAAAAUAAUAUGAAGAAAGUUUUUCCAAAUUUUGUAUCUUGUUUAAAUUUUUCUUCUCCUUGUGUUAUUUGUCCAAUGUCAAGACAAUCUAAUCUAUGUUUUCCUUGUAGUGUUAUUUCAACUAAAUCUAUUUUUGAUCUAAUACACAUGGAUACUUGGGGACCUUACAAAUUUACUACACAUGAUGUUGUUAAAAUACUUUCUUACAAUUGUUGAUGACUUUAGUAUAGCUACUUGGACACAUCUUCUGAGUACAAAAUCUAAUGUUUUUUCCAUCCUUUAAUCUUUGCUUUCUAUGGUAGAAAGACAAUUUAAUUCUAAAGUUAAAAUUAUAAGAACUGAUAAUGCUUUUGAGUUAGAAAAUGGAAACGUACAAUAUGAUUUCUUUCUUUCUAGGGGACUAUUCAUCAAACAACUUGUGUUUAUACUUCACAAUUUAAUGGAGUAGUGGAGAGAAAACAUAAGCCUUUAUUGGAAACAUCAAGAGAUCUUUUAUUUCAAUCUCAUCUUCCUAUUAGUUAUUGGGGGGAAUGUCUUUUAACUGCAACUUAUCUCAUAAAUAGAUUUUCCUCAACUGUUUUGAAUUCAAAAACUCUUUUUGAAGUUAUAUUCAAGAGUAAACCAUCCUAUGAUCAUCUAAAAUGUUUUGGGUGCUUAUGUUUUGUAUCUACUCUAUCUAUCAGUAAAACUAAAUUUGAUCCUAAAGAAACACCUUGUAUUUUUAUAGGAUAUCCCUAUAUAAAGUAUUAAAUUUGCAAACCAAGAAAAUUACAAUUGCCAAUGACGUUAUUUUUCAUGAGAAUAUUUUCCUUUUAUAUCACAAUAUGCUUUCCCUUCUACUAUAUUUUCUUCUGAUGCGUCGAAUUCUUCUAUUUCUCUAUCACAAUUUUUCCUUCCUUUAUUAGAUUACUCUACUGAUUAUGAAUCUACUCCUGAUCUAAUAGUUUUACCCACUACUAUGCCUCAACUUCCAUCAAGUUCCAAUGAUGUGCCAUUGGAAGAAUAUAUUUGUAAUGUUCUUCACCUUACAGAAAUGACUGCUACCUUUUUUCUCAGUCUCGUUACUCUUAAUUACUUGUCUUAUAAUGCUUUAUCUUCUAAUAAUCAAGUCAUGAUCAACUCCAUUACUAGUAUACAAGAACCUUUUAAUUAUAUUCAAGCAUCACAUCAUCCAGGUUGGCAAGAAGUCAUGGAUAAAGAACUUCCAGUUUUACAGUUAAACAACACAUGGGAUAUUAUUAUUCUUCUUGUUGGAAACAAACCACUUCCUUCUAAAUGAGUCUAUAAAGUCAAAUAGAACUCUGAUGCAAGAAUUAAAAGACAAAAGGCUCGAUUGGUCAUUAGAGGUGAUGUGCAGAGAGAAGGUAUAGAUUAUAAUGAAACUUUCUCUCCAGUAGUCAAGAUGACUGCUAUUAGAUGUAUUUAGAUCAAGAUGACUGCUAUUAGAUGUAUUUUAGACAUUGUAUUGAAGAAUAAUUGGGGAGUUUUUCAGUUAGAUAUUAAUAAUGCUUUUUUAUGGUGAUUUUCAUGAAGAAUUUUAUAUGAAAUUUCCACCUGGUGUUACACUACCAUCUCCAAAUCAUGUUUGUUUGCUGAAGAAAUCUGUUUAUGGGAUUAAACAAGCAUCUAGACAAUGGUAUGCUAAGCUUUCUUCCUCUUUUAGUUUUAAGGGUUUCAGACAAUCCUUCAAUGAUUAUUCUCUCUUUUUUAAUAAUUUUGGUGAUUUAAUCUAUUGUAUCAGUGUAUAUAGAUGUCAUAUUUUUGACAGAAAAUAAUGAAAGUGAACUACAAGCUUCAAAGUUGUUUUUAGACAAAGAGUUCAAAAUCAAGGAUCUUGGUCCUUUGUAUUUUUUCUUGGCAUAGAGGUUGUUCGAGAAUCUAUAGGGAUGCUUAUUUCAUAAAGGAAAUUUACAUUAGAUAUAUUGAGAGAAUUUAAUGCUCUUUAUUUAUCUCCCGUUUCUUCACCUUUAGAUCAUAACAUCAAACUAUAGGCUAAUCAAGGGAUUCCUAUGUAAGAUCCUACUUUAUACAAGCAUUUAUUGGGUAAAAUCAAUUAUUUAACACAUACAAGGACUAAUUUGUAAUUCACAAUGCAACAUUUGAGUCACUUUAUGAAGGAUCCAUGUGAACCUUAUUUUAAAGUUGUAUUGCUAGUGCUUUGCUAUCUGCUCACUAAUUUAGGUCUUGGUAUAUUUAUGUCUACUUAUACUUCUUUUGAAUUGAUGGAAUUUUGUGACUCCGGCUGGGGUACAUGUCCAGAUUCAUGAAAAUCAGUAAGUGGGUGAUGUAUUUCCCUUGGUUCCUCUCCUAUUUCAUGAAAAUCAAAGAAACAAACAUACAUCUCUCUUAUCUCAGCCAAAGCUGAGUAUCACUCUAUGAGGAGGGUUGUAGUUAAGCUUACUUUUUUGGUUUACCUUUUCAAAGAUCUCAACAUCUUAAUUCUUUUACCACCUCUUUAUUCAGACAACCUUGCCGUCAUUCAUAUCGCAAAAAUCAGUUUUUCAUGAACAGACGAAGCAUGUUGAAAUUGACAGUCUCUUUGUCCGUCAGUAGUACCUUGCUGAUUGUUCUCAAUAUCGUAUGUGAGAUAUUCUUCUUAUCUUUCGGAUAUAUUCACUAAGUCGUUCACCGGGCCUUUGCAUCAUCAAUAUCUUGGCAAGUUGGGUGUCUCUUCCAUACCUCCAACUUAAGAGGGGUGUUAAGAUCAAUAUUUUUCCUUGUUGGGAUUCAACAUUUUUUUAUUUUUGGAAUUUAUUGUGAAUAUAUUUUAGGUACAUAAUAGAUAUUUUUUCCUUUUUUAGAUGUACACAAUAUUCUCUUCCCUUUUAUUUAUAACACCCUACAUUUUUGGGCUAGAGUUCAAACCGUCGUUCCUAUGUGUAUAAAAUCUAAUCCAAUGAUUUGUAUAUGAAUAUAUGUGUCAUGAUCAUUUAACUAGUGUGUAAAGUAUUUUCGAGGUGAAGAAUGUUAAUAGUAAACACUUAAAGUAAAGUGGAGUUAAGAACUUUUGAUUCAACCAAAAUUUUGGUAUUUAAUCCUACAAGCGUCAACUUUGAACGUGCAUAACUUUUAAAAUAUAGGAAAUUUUUUUAUCUCAAGACCCACCAAAUUAUAUAUAAAUGUAUCCUCUUUCAAAAGCAUCCGAUUUUGUCUUAAUCUGAUACCCGAGCAAAAAGUUAUGAGCAUUCUUGUGAGGAAUAAUGUUCUAUAGAAAUAUAACACUUUGGACACUUAAAAUUAUGAAAAUAUGCAAGUUUCUUAGGUUGUUUUAUUAGAUAUGAUGUGUCUUGGGUAUGUUUUGUAGGAAACUAGGUUUUGGAUGCUAAUUUUGUGAAAUAGAUGAUAAAACGUAUUUUUUGCAACUUAUGUGAUCAAUUAUGGGUGUUCGUGACUCUUUCUGGAUUGUUCGUGACCAAAGCAUGUAUUGGAAUUUAAGAAGAGCUGAAAAAAUACUUUUGGCACCUACCUAUGUCAAUAUGCAGACUGCAUGUAGGCAAAGCAUAUGACAGAGAUCCAAAAUACUGAGAGCAGAGCGGCAGGAUUUUUUGGUCUGAGCCAGGGGCAGACCUACAUUCAUUUGUGGGGUGCUCCAUCACCUACUCAACUCGACGCAGAAUAGGUAAGAUUACAUAAAAAUAUACUAAAAUAGAUAUAUAAUAAAUAAAAGCACCCACUAAAAAACAGUUGAUUGGGUGAACUGGUAUUUAGGUUGACUUUAAGGUUCUCCUCUAGAAAGGAUGCCCUAGGUUCAAACCUUUUCAGUUUUUAAAUUUUUUAAGAACCCAAUAUCCUUAAAUCCUGGGUCCGCCACCGGUCUGAGCACAUGUGGAGUCCACAUAUGCCCAGCUUUAAGCCAAAUGUACCACAUGCGCCUAAGGCCAGGCCGCAUGUGAACACCACAUGUGGCCACCGACCUUUUUUUCUCGUAUUUCAUUUGGGCUUUGAUUUUAGGGUUUCCUCAUGUACUAUAAAUACCCCUUAUGUGUUUUUUAGUAUAAGUUAUGCACUCUUGAUACAUACAAACAUAUUUUGAUUUCGAGAUUCAAUUUUAGUCUUAGAAUUCUCUUAUGUUGAUUUUGGUUCAUUAAUUUAGUUACAGUUUUGGGCUCUUACUUGUGAUUAUUGUGAUUUUAUCUCAUGCUUACAAUCAUGAAUGUUUUUGAUUACUUCACAAGUAUGAGCGGCUAAAACCCCUUAGCUAGGGUUAUGUAAACCCUGGCGGAUAGACAAAGUAGGGGAAGUGUUAUUGUUGUUCUGAACCGAUACCAUGCUUGAAUUAUAUUAUCUUCACUUUAACAGUUAUCUUAGUGGUUGCAAAUGUUAGGAUCCCGCCUAGAUCAUUGCUACUUACUCCAAAAGAGGAGAAGUGACUAGGAAAAGAUAAUGACAAUAGUAAUUUGAUGGUUAGUUGUUGAUCCAUUCUACUAGGUAUUAUCUAAGUAAGAUGGUUAGCUUUCACCUAAUAACUAGAGACUCAAAAAGUAAUAGUUAACGAGGAUCAAGUUAAGGGUUAGUAAGGCGACAUCCUGAGACUCAAAAGGUAAAGGAUGAAAUUUAUCAGCUAAUCCAAAAGAUUGUUGAUGGUACAUAACUUAUCGAUUUUACAUGUAAGUAUCAGGUUGGUUCAAUAAAGCACGAUAAGCCUACAGAGUUGAGAAGCCAGGGGUAACACAGUCCUACUGUUCACAUACCACUGAUUACAACCGAAGUUGAUAUUCGCCACUAGUUUGAUAUUACUACUCAAAAUCCCCUAUUUACUUUUCCAAUUCUGCCCGUAGAUUACCCCAGCUGGCAGCCAUAAUUCCAUAUAUUCCCUUAGGAUUCGACCCAAACUUUUGUUGGUUUACUAUAUUUGACAACAGCCGCAUAACCUUUAGAGUGAAGGUGUAGCUAAAGCGUUAUCAAAUUUUGGUGCCAUUGACUGGGACUAUAGUGUUGAUUUGUGAAUUGAAUUUGUUGCAGUUUAUGGGGUUUUCUUUUUGUUUUUGUUCUUAGUUGGGUAUACGUUGGUGUAUGCUUAGCACACGAAAUAGAGGCAAUCCCGUAAUCCCAUUGAACCUGAAUCCAGAGAGGAUCCUACAAACACUUAGUAGGAUAACGGAACAGAAAAGAGAUGAUAUUCCUGAAGGGGUUUGUGAUGAUGUGCCUUGAUGUGCUGGCCUUCUGCUAGCACAUUUAAGACUUUUAACUUGGAAUAAUUGUAAGUUCUUAAGUAACUAUCAUUGUUUUUUAUGGUAUUUCAUGUGAUUUUGUAGGAAAGUGAAGAUGCAUAAAAUAUAGAAAAGCUACAUUGAGAAGGAUGAUUUUUGGUAAAAGAUGUAAGAAAUUAAGUUCUGAAGAUUUCAUCCGACGACUUGGUCUAAUAAGCUAUCAGAUCUAUUAUAAGCUAUUAGGACAUAUCGUCACACAUAGGCAAAGAACAAGAAAGGUGAAGCAUUUCUGACGACAUUUUCUGAUAAGUCACCAACUUCCUAAUAAGCCAUCAGGACCUGUCGUCAGCCGAAGGCAGCAAACAUGGAAUUUGAAGAGGAGUUGACGAUAUUUUUUGAUAAGUCGUCAACUACCUAAUAAGCCUUCAGGACUUGUCAUCAGCGAAAGGCAGCAAACAUAGAAUUUGAAGAGGAGUUGAUGAUAGUUUCUGAUGAGUCGUCAGAUUCCUGAUAAUUCAUCACACAUAUCGUCAAAUUUAUGAUAAGUCGUCACAAAUGUCUUUAGCUAAAGGAGCAAAAAUCUAAAUUUUUAGUUUCGAAGUUCCUUUAAGUUACAGAUAUAAAAUAGCAGCUUUUAGGGUUUCAUUCAACACCUGCAACUUAUUCCAAAGGAAAAGUCAUCUCUUUUUGGGCCUCUUAACUUAGAAUUCAAUUUUCAACUCUGUGAUUGGGUUUUAGGAAUUUUUUCUUGAACUGGGAAGAGAAUCAACUUCAGACUUCAUCUUUUGUAAGUUUAAUUGCUUUGAAUGAUGAAUACAAUUGUUGUUAUCUCUUUCUAUAUCAUGUGGAACUAAAACCCAUAACUGGGGUUGUGGGAUCUAUGAUUAUUCCUCCGUGGAUUUAAUAGUUGGUUAGGGUUUGAGUGAUUGUGGGGACAUCUUAAUAAUUCCUUUGUAAUGAUAGUUAUCUAUUGGUUACAAAAAAUAGAUCUCACCUUAUGUGGAUUUGCUUGAACUGAGAAAUAAACUAAAGGCAUCGAAUUAUCAACGAGGAUUUCGAAAGGUUAAGUUCUCAUCUAAUGAUUAAUGUUGUAACAAGAUUGAUCAACUUGAGAUAAAAUUAGUAUGAAUAGAAUGUUUUCCUAAGUUCAAGAGAAUUAGGGAGUUCAACAUCUAGGUAGGUUGAGAAACACUUAGAUGGACUGUCAAAACUGAUAAUUUAGUGUUUUCCAUAAGUCAUGAGAAUCCAGUACUACAACUAUCAUUCAAUGAGGGGCUAAUAAUCAUAGUGAUCACAACCCUAGUUUCUCUCUAUCAUUGAUUUGAACCAUUGAAAUUUUAUAUUUGAGUUCUGAAGCAAGUCAAAACUUUAAUCAUCAUUUCACUGAUAAAACCCCCAAUUAAAGGAAACCAUUAUCUAUCAACCAUUUUAAUCACAAAUAGACUUAAUCGAAACCUUAUUCCCUGUAGGAUUCGACCCCAACCUAGUUGGGUUAUAUAUUUGACAACGAUCGUUUAUUCUCUCGUAAGAGAGGUGUAAUUUGGGAGUAUUAAAUUUUGGUGCUGUUGUCGGGGAAUAAAGUUGUAAAUUGAGUAUAUCCGUGAUAAUUGACUUGUAAUAAGUUUCCUAGUUUUACUUUUAUUUGUUUUUUUGUUCUCUGUAGGGUAGUUAGUAUGUAUGCCAAGUACACAGAGUUCAGGUGAACUGUUAUUACCCGUACAUUCGGAACCUCGGUUGAUCGGUAGAAUGGCAGACACACAAGAAGUAGGAAGACUAGCCGCCUUAGCUAGGGCUUAGCUAAAUCAACAGAAUAUAGAUAACCCAGGUCAAGUACCAAAUCCAAAUGAAAAAGACCUGGGAGAUGAUGAUCUAUUAGGUCUGGGAAAUCGUAGGCGUGCAGAAGAUAUAGUGGCACCGGUUGAUAGAAAUGUAAGCAAAAUCGCCUAUUCAGAGCGAGGUAGGAUCGUUAACAUGUGCAGUAUGAUCUUAAUGAUGAUGAGGAUGGAAUGGAUGGAGUAGGUGCAACUGGAGCUAUUAUUCCCCCACCUUUGGUACCCGAAGCUAAGUUCCAUAUUAUAGGCACGAUGAUUCAACUCCUCCAUGUUAAGGGGUUGUUCGGUGAACUCCCGGGUGAUGAUCCCAAUAUGCAUUUAGUGAAUUUUGUCACUAUUUCUAAAUCUUUUGAUAACCUAGGAGUAGGACAAAAUGUCAUCCGCCUACGCUUAUUUCCAUUGUCUCUGUCUGGGGAGGCAACAUUGUGGUUAAAUGAGCUAACACCCGAUUCUAUAACCAACUGGAAGCAGUUGAAAGAGGCUUUCCUAGAAAGGUUCUUUCCACCUUCCAGAAGGGUACCGCUGAGGGAUGAGAUCAGUAACUUUAGGCAGCUCCCAAUUGAAGCCCUUCACGAGACAUGGGAGUGGUUCAAAAAGAAGCUGAUGUAGUGCCCGAACUACAAUAUGACGAAUAUUCAUUUGAUGAAGACUUUUUAUCGGGGUUUCAACUUUAUUACGAAGCCAAUUGUUGAUAAUGUUGCAGGGGGAUCAUUUGUGGAUCUCACUUUUCAAGAGGCUUCAGAGAUGCUUGAUCGGAUAACAAAACAAAGUAGAGCUUGGCAUACCAGGGAUUCUGUGGUAGCGAGCCCUAUUAUUUCUAUUGGCAUGACUGUAGAAAAAUGUAGAAAGGAGGAGUGUGAUCAAGAUAUGGCGCACUUGAAGACGCAGAUGGACUUAUUGACCAAGCAUUUAUUAUCUAUAAACACGGAGAAAGUGAAAGCUGUCAGGUCCCAAGGACGGGUUGAUUCUGAUGCAGAAGAGGAAGAUAACUAUCUCAAUAACCAAGAGGGUUUCCAAGGCAGUAGACAGGGGAAUCAAGGUCGAACUUAUCAGGAUAAAUCGAGUUAUGGAGAUCAUGACCAAGGGACUUGGAAGAAUAAGAAUGACAGGAGUGGACUUUAUGUGCCUCCUGGCAAUCGAGACAAUGCUGCUACUAGCUCAGGCAAAAUGUCCAUGAAGGACAUGAUGAAGAGGUUCCUAAAAGGAGUGGAGGCCACCAAUGUAUGUGUGACAAUAAUGAAAAGUGACUUUUCGUUAUUGAUUCAAUUGGUAAACUCGCACUAAACUUCAAUCAAACAGUUGGAGCAACAGAUGAGCCAACUUUCAGCAGUAUUGAAUCAGAGGAAGAGCAGAACAUUACCUAGUGAAACAAUUCAAAAUCCUCGUAAUGAUGGUACUUAUAUGGAAAUUACCACUCGGAGUGGUAAGAUAUGGUUGGAAAAGAUUAUAAGACUGAGGAAAGUAAUCCAGUGGAGUCUGAAAAACUGGAUGGCAUUGAUAUCCCAUUUAAUCAUCAACAGAGUGAUGAGUUAGAAAAAGGGAAAGAUAAGGAAAAGAAAGUAGUGCUGAACACUCUCGCAAAACCACCACCUCCCUUUCCUCGAAGAUUGAAGUAGAAAGCCGAUGACAUAAAGUUUAGUAAAUUCAUGGCAAUAUUGAAGCAGUUGACAGUCAGUGUGCCUUUGGUAGAGGCACUUGAGCAAAUGCCAGAAUAUGCUAAAUUUAUGAAGGAUCUUAUGACAAAGAAAAGAGCAGUGUGCUAUGAACCAGUGGAUAAUAUCCAUCAUUUUAGUGCUAUUUCUACAAAGUCCUUGGUGCAGAAGAAGGCAGACCCAGGAACGUUCACUAUUCCUUGUACGAUUGAAUCUUUGGAAUUUUUUGUGCCUCCCCAUCCUCCCAAAGAAGUACAAGAUAUUAUUGACCAGUAGAUAAGGGUGCUUUUACCAUAAGCCACUAAUGAUGGAAGGGUAGUAGAAGAAGCUCAGCAGAUACCUAGCGAGGCAGAGCUAGCUGAGCAAAGACAAAAAGUAGACCGACGAGUAGCACUCAGUGGAAAUCAGAAUAGAGUUAGAGGAGGGCGUCCUCAAGUAAUCCCAGCAUAUCAAUAUGUGCAUCCAUACAAGGAUGAUAAAGUAGAUUUGGGACACGUUGAGCCAGCAAAGAUCGGAGCUAUCAUUCCUUCUGUUUUGACCACAAAUGUUAAGUUUAACAUAACCAGUGCUAUGAUCCAGCUUUUACAUUUAAAGGGUAUGAUUGCGGGGUUGCAAAAAGAUGACACAACCAUGCAUCUAGACAACUUUACCAGAAUUUGCACUUUUUUACAAAUAUAGGGGUGAAUUAAAAGGCCCUCAGGUUGAGGUUGUUCCCUUUCUUGCUUAUAGGAGAAGCAUCUUUAUAGUUGGGGUAACUUAUUAGAGGAUCUAUCACUACAUGGAAUGAGUUAUGCAGGCAAUUCUUGAAUAGGUUUUUUCCUCCAUCCAGGAUGUUGUAGCUUAAGGACGAGAUUUAUAAUUACAAGUAGUAGCAAUCAGAAUCUAUGUAUGAGGCAUGGUUCAGGUUUAAGAAGAAGAUUCGCAUGGUGCCCAACUAUCGAAUAUCGUGGCUAAGCUUAUUAGAGUUAUUCCAUAGUGUCCUGACCAUCAGUUUCAUAACCAUGGUAGACACUAUCUAUGAAGAAUUUGUUAUAAGAUUAUGUUGGGAGGUAGCUUUUGAUAUUCUAGACUAGAUCUCUCUCACUAAUCGGGGGUGGAAAACUCGAGAAGCAAAUAGAGGUUCGUACACUUAUGCCAUUAGAGUUUUUGGUGAUCAGAGAGUAGAUGAUGAUUUUGUAGCACAAGAGAUUAUGCUAUUGGGGACUGAUUUUGGGUUGCUAGCAAAGCAGUUCGCGAUUGUGAAUUUUGAGAAAGUGAAUGCAAUAGGAGUAUAAGGUAUAGAUUCCAGAGUGUAUAAGUCUAAAUUAGAAGAGGAGUCUAGGUAUUCAAAUCAUCAGUUGGUAGGCUUUUGAGCCCAAGAUAUAGAAAACUAAGGUCAAAACUUCUAUAAUAAUAAAUAUAGAGACCAUAGUAAAGACAGAGAUAGUGACUGAAGAUGGAGAGAUGAUUACAAAGAGAAAGGAGACAGGUAUAUUCUGCCUGGUAGACGAGAUACGGAAUCUAGAAUGGAAGAAAUUUUGACCAAGAUGGUCAAGGGUCAAGAAAGUCAGGAGGCUAGCCUUAAGGAGAUCAAGGCUGAUAUUUCAGGUUUGACCUAGAAGGUUGAGUCUCAUGCAAUGGCUAUCAAGCACUUAGAGAAUCAACUUUGGCAGAUAUCUAUCACUCUACAUCAAAAUCAGGCGGGUACCCUCCCGAGUAACACAAUGCAGAAUCCUUCAAACAUCAGUCGCUGUAUAGCUAUCACCACUAAUUGUGGCACCACUGCUGAUGAUCCCUCAGUACCUUCUAUUGAGGAGUUAAAGAUUGAUAACACUAAAAGCGAUGAGACACUUGAGGCAGAGUUUGAGAAGUUAACAUAGGGUGGUGAUGAUUUUGAGUUUGAUAGUUGUGAGGAUUGGUUCGAUCCCAAUGAUCAUAUGCACCCUUAUAGUGUGACCCCUUCCUUAUCAUUAGUAGAAAAAAAGAAGGACCUCAGAGCAGUUACCAUUCCAUGUUCGGCUGGUCCUUUCAGUGUAAAACAGGCUUUAUGUAACUUGGAAUCAGGAGUAAAAAUUAUGCCAUUGGGUGUGUAAAAGUUGUUGAGGAAGGGGGAACUUAAGCCUACAUCUAUAAAACUAUUGAUGGCUAACUCAUCUAUGAAGAAACCUACGGGUGGCAUCAUUUAUGUUCCCCACUCAUUUCAUAGUUCUUGAUUGUGAGGUGAAUUUUCAAGCCCCUAUUAUAUUGAGUAGACACUUCUUAUCCACUGGUAGGGUGUUGAUUGAUCUAGACAUGGGGGAGAUCACCUUCAAACUAAAUGAUAACCAAGUAAUUUUUUAUGUGUGUAUGACAGUGCAGUAGCCUGGUGAUAUAUGAGUGGUGUCUGUGAUAGACGUUAUUGAUGAGGAUGUUGUUGCAGAGGUUAAUAUGCAAGAUAUACCAGGUGUUAAGAGAGGAUAGAGAUGACAGCCACUCAGCUACCAAUUAUUAAGACCGAUGUGGCAAAAAUAUAUGAGCAGAUCCAGCCAUGAGUCUGGACUACACUAGAGACGGCAGAGGCUAGACUAUAGUCUGCACAUGGGGAUGCAAUAUUAGAGCUCUGAGCUGAGUUGCACUUAUGGAUAGAUGUUUUUGAGGGUCAAGUAUCGGUCCAAUUCAGCAGAAUUGAGAUGUAGGAUCUAGGAGACAUUAGGGAGGAGGUGGACCUACCUAGAUCAGAGGUACGUUCUCUCACUGAGAGCCAUAUAUCAUACAUCCCUACAGUCUUUUAUACAUUACCUCUGUGUGGUCCCAGAAACUUUGAUUUAUUUGCGGAGAAUGAUGUAGUGGUCCCUAUAGUUGGGACCAAGAGAGGCUGAAAGGGGAACCUACAAAAUCCAGACAGGCCAUAUGAGCAAGCCCUGAAAAGGGCCAUCUAUGAUUUGACAGAGAAUGCAUUUUAUGAUAGGAAGAGGUGUGUCGAGCUAGUUGUGGGUACAUCCUAUCGUAGCGCACCGCCACCACCAUGGCCUGAGUCAGUGGAUAUGCCCCCAUCUGGGGAUACUCAUGACAUGGACGCUUAGUGCAUCUCGGGUAUUUCCCCAUUCCCUUUGUUUAUAUUAUUUUUAUGCAUUAGGGAUAGUGUGCAGUUUUUAGUUGGGCGUGGGGUAUACAAUAUCCGUCACCAAUUUUUGUUAUCAUGCUUCUUUUUCUAUCGGUUGCGGUAUAGUUAUAGACCGAUAUGUCUAGGUUAAAAUUUGUGUUGUAUUUAGGGCAGUUCUAGGAUAUUUUUAAGUAUUUAGGGCAGUUUUCAUGUUUUUGAUUGAUUUUUGAGAAAAAUGAUACCCCUCUAAAAAUUAUGUUUUAGAGCUGUGUGAUUGUCUAUAUAUGUAAACAUUGUGGAUUUUAUUAUUGCAUUAGGAUUAGGGACAUGAUAACCACUUGCUAACAGUUGCAUGAACUGGAUAAGUAGUAGCUUGUAAUAUUGACUUUGUGUCGUGUGUGUGAGAUGCUACUUAGUUCCCUUUGUGUGUUGAAUUUAGAACAUGCCCAAUUAGUCUUGCCUAGGUUAUAGGAUAGUUGGUUAGGAAAGGAUCAUAGGUCAUUUUUAAUAUGAGUCCACUUUUAGCCUAAAUGACCUUCCAUGUGUGAAGUAUCUCUUGAUCCCUAUUUUGAGCCUAAUAGCCUAUUCAUAUUAUUGCACCUUUCACCUUUCCAUUUGUAUUACAAUGAAUCUGUUUUGGCCUUAGUCCUCCUUGGACAUUAUGCUCCUCAACUCUAGCAAAAUGCCUAAGUUGAGGGUGGCUAUCAUAGGGGUGCUUAGUGUAAAAUGGGUAUGUAGAAGGGUAAAAUAAGAGAAAAAUUUAGUAGGGUUGGGUGUGAAAGAAAAAUAAAAAAAUAAAAGAAAGGAAAGAAUGUUAAAAAGGUGAAAAAGAAAGAAUAAAAGACCACCCCCAAACUAAAAGAGCAAUAAAAAAUAAAAAUGGAGAAAUAAGGGUGGAAUAAAAAUAAAUUGGCUAGUAAGUGAGACCCCAAGCUUAGUGUAGUGCCAAGGAGACUUAGUCACUUGAUAUGUCCAUAUGUACGAUACCAAACCCCAAGCCUACAUUACAAACCGAGAAAACACCUAUAGUGAUCCUAACUUAACUAUUUGAAUGCUAAGGUAAAGAAAAUAAAGGCAAACUUAUGGUAUUUGAUGCACAUUGGUUGGAACUACACUUCUGAGUGUGAGUGUCUCUUUAAUGUCCCUGCAUUGACAUACAUUAUUUCAUGUGAGUGAGUGGGACAUCUUUAUUGUGAGGGCACAUGAGUCAUAUUGCUAGCUGCUUACGCGUUUGGGUAAGUUAAUUUGUACAUAUGCAUGGUUGUCUAUUACUAAUGUAAUGCCAUACCUUGAUCCCAUUAUGUAACAUUGUUGUGCUUCAUAGUUAUACACAGUUGUUUUUGAAAAAUUAAGAUAGGAGGGGUGUUGUGAUUUGAGCUUAAAAGUGUUAAUAGACUGCCUUGAAUAGCUUAGACUCUCCUAGUUAAGUGUCGUGUCUUAUUUUAUUUUAUUUUGUUGUGUUUUGUUUCCUGAGGACAUACAAAUAUUCUAAGUUGAGGGUGUUGAUGUGCUAUAGAAAUAUAGAACUUUCGACACUUAAAACUAUGAAAAUAAGCAAGUUUCUUGGGUUAUUUUUUUAGAUAUGAUGCGUUUUGGGUAUGUUUUGCAGGAAACUAGGUUUUGGAUGCUAAGUUCGUGAAAAAAAAUGAAAAGGUGUUUUUGGAUACUUAUGUGAUCAAUUAUGGAUGUUCGUGAUACUUUCCAAAUUGUUCGUGAUCAAAGCAUGUGUCAGAAUUAAAGAAGAGAUGAAAAAAGACUAUCGGCACCUACCUAUGUCAACAUGCGGACCGUAUGUAGCACAUGUGGACCACAUGUAGGCAAAGCAUGUGUCAAAAGUCCAAAAUCCUGAGAGUAGAGCUGCAGGAUUUUUUGGUUUGAGCACAUGCAGUGGCCACAUGCACCCAGCCUUAGGAUGCAUGUGGAUACUAGAAGUGGCCACGGACUCUUUUUUCUCUUAUUUUGUUCGGGCUUUGAUUUUAGGGUUUCAAUGUACUAUAAAUACCCCAAGUUACUCAUCUUAAUACUUACAAACAUAUUUUGACUCCGAGAUUUAAUUUUGGUCAUGGAACUAUCUUGUAUUGAUUUCGGUUCAUUAAUUCAAUUACAGUUUUGGGUUUUUACUUGUGAUUAUUAUGAUUCAAUCUUAUGCUUUGAAUCAUGAAUGUUGUUGAUUACUUCACAAGCAUGAGCGGCUAAAAAUCCUUAACUAGGGUUAUGUAAACCCUGGCGAAUUGAUGAAGUAGGGAAAAUGCUAUUGUUGUUCUGAACUGAUACCUAUGCAUGCAUUGUAUUAUCUUCACUUUAAUAGUUAUCUUAGCGGUUGCAAACGUUCAGAUCCCACCUAGAUUAUUGCUACUUACUCCAAAAGAGGAUUAAUGACUAGGAAAUGAUAAUUACAAUAGUAGCUUGAUGGUUAUUGUCGAUCCAUUUACUAGGUAUUAUCUAAGUAAAAUGGUUAACUUUCAACUAAUAACUAGAGACUCAAACGGUAAUAAUUAACUGAGAUCGAGAUAAGGGUUAGUAAGGUGACAUCCUGAGACUUAAAAGGUAAAGGGUGAAAUCUGUCAGCUCGUCCAAAAGACUGUUGAUGAUACAUAACUUAUUCAUUCUGCAUGCAAGGUAUUGGGAUGGUUCAAUAAAGCAUGGUAAGCCUAGGAAAUUGAGAAGCCAGGGGGAACAAAAUCCAAGUGUUCACCUACAACUGAUUACAAUCAAAGUUGAUAUUCACCACUAGUUCGAUAUUGCUACUUAAAACCCCACAUUUACUUUUUUAGUUUUGCCCGUUAAUUACACCAGCUGAGCGCCACAACUCCACGUAUUCCCUUGGGAUUCAACUCCAACCUUUAUUGGGUUACUAUAUUUGACAGCGAUAGCAUAACCUUCGGGGUGAAGGUGUAUCUUAGGCGUUAUCAAGAAACUAGUGAGGGUGCAAAAUUUUAGUGUGGCACGGAACUUCUGCUCUAUAAUUUUCAGCGUGGCACGGACCUUAUUCAGAAAUGCUAAAACCCACAUUUCUCUUCAAUUUUUCGAGGGUAAACAAGUUAUUUACAUCCUAAACUGUCCUAUGACUGGUAUAAAUGUGAUUUUAUUAUUCCAUAACUCCAAAUACAUCAAAUACAUGAUUCAUCUCCUCCCAAAUUCUCAAGAAAACCAAGUAAGGAUUUCUUCUUAGAAUUCACCUCCCAAGGCUCCAAAUCCAUGUUCCCCUUUUCAAGAAGUCAUGAAAGUCAUGUAUGUGGGUAUUCAAUGUGGAUCUCUUUUCAUCCUCAUGUCCAAAAUUACGUUUUUUAUUCAUGAAUUUUAUAAAUUCCAUAAAUUAGGGUUCCAUGAAAAGUGUAAAUUCCAUGAUUCCUACAUGUAAUUCUUGAAUUCAACCAUGAACAAGUGUUUCCUCAUAAUUUUAAGUAUUCUUCCGUACCCUAGUCAUGAUAACUUGUUUUGUUGAUGAAAUUGUUGGGUUUUGAGUUUUGGUCAUGAAAUUUCCUAUCUUGUCAUUACUUCAAAAAUAAUCGUAUUUAACUGUAUUUUCAGUGCUGGCAGGUUAUGAACACCUGAUACCUAUAUGUUUAUGCAUGUCAGAUUUUCAAGUUACAAGUUAUUUAGACCAUGUUUGUAUCACUAUAUUCAGACUAUAGAUGCAUUGUUAUUUUCACAAUAUCAUAUUUGAGCAAAUCAGUUGUCAGUGCAUGUACUAGUUUAUGAUUCUAUGUCUAUUCAGUUGGGAGUAAAACUUAGCACCGAGCGAAUUUAGUGAUGAAGGCUUUCCUGCCAGCAUAGGGUGAGACCUUUAGUAGCAGUCCUUAAGUUCCAGAACUAUGUAACCAGCAUAGGUUAUGUGAGUCUUCCAACCAUCUAGGGCUAAUAAUCUCCUGGGGGCACCUGCCAGUUUAGGGUGACACCCCAUCUUUUGGGACAUCAGCUUUGUGGAUCCACAACGUCAGUGUCAGUACCCGUUGCAAGGUAUUAAUACCUUUCCAACUAGGGUUACAGGUUGGACCCCGAUUAGCUCAAAUUGGAUCAUGUCGGUUAAAUGUUAGCUCCCACAGUCUCUGUUCAGUAUUCAAACCACAUCAGCUCAGUUUUGUAUGACCAAGUGUACAGUUUAUCAGUUAUUCAGUUUUACGGAUUAUUUCAGCACAUGUUUUACUUGGUCUUGCAUUCAUUUUACAUUCAUGCAUUCUUGCUCAGUAUUCAUACAUGAUCCUUAGUACAAUUUUACAACCUAUAGAGCUUUAACUUGAGAUUUACAUAAGGUAUUUCGGUCUCUACUGCUUCCCAGUUUACGGAAAUGCUUUCAGAUCAUAAUUUAGAAAUUUUACUAAGUCUUGCACCUUUCACAUUCAACCAUGAUUUAAAUGCAUAUUUCAGCAAAUAGCUUAUGUCCUCAGUUUUAAAGCAUAAAUUAAGUAUUCCCAUGAUUUAGUGCAUGUCUCAUAUACUCAGUACAUUCCAAAGUACUUACCACAUAUAUAUGCAUUUGUGGAUAUAUUCCUUCAUAAUAUAGGUACCAGAUGUAGCCCACAUACCAGGGUCAGACAGUUCUCAGCAUUCACCCAGCAGGUGAUGAGUUCUCUUAUUUUGGGGACUCAUGUCAGUUCCAGUUCCUGUAUUUUAUUUUCAUUAUUCUUAUCUAUUGAUUAGGGAUAGUUUAGAGGUCAUGUCAUAACUACCUAUAGUCAGUAUAGUAGAGGCUUCAUAGAUGGUCAGUUAGAGUCCGUAUUUGAAAUUUAAUUUUCUCUCUCUCAGAUUUCUGUGUUGUAAACUUUAAACAAUUAUGUAUUGAAACAGCUUAUCUCAUGUUGAUUAUGCUUCCACUCAAUUAUUUAGUGUUCAUAUAUAUUAAAUCAGUUGAGCAAGUAUCAUGCCAGUACAUGGGUUAGCUUGGGAUCACUUGCAGUUCUAAGCGCCGCAUUACGAAUAGGGGGUAGUCUUGAGUCAUGACAUUAUCAUGUAGGGUUAUUGUAUUAGGUUGGUAAUAAAUAGGGGUAUUUUGCACAAAGAAUUCAUCAACUAAUAAGAAGGAAAAUUUCAUACUUUUGCUUUGUUUAUUUUUGCACUGGCGUUGCUCCUAUUUCCAAAAAGACAACAAGAUAUAUUUUACGUAGUUAGAAACUUACCCAGCAAUUGGUUUUAUGUGAUUUGUUAUUGUAAACUCUCUUUUCACUCUCUAUCAUUUCCACUUUCUAUGAAAAAUACUAAAGUAGAUUUUUUUAAAUCAUAGAUUUUCUACUUAAGUUUCUAGAACAGUCCAGUAUAGUAUCUAGGAUAUCUUUAAGGAUAAUUUAGAGUAUUCUUAGAUAGCCAGAAAGUAAAGUUGUCUAGAUUAGUUUUGGAGAACUAGAAGAUAAAGUUAUCUAGAUUGCUCUUAUAUAUUUUCUUGUAGACGUAUCAAGAAUAGCAUCUAAAACCAUCCUACACCUGUAUAAAUAGAAAUGACCUUGGUCAUUUGUAAGUAACCCAAGAAAAACCAAUUCAGGUCAGUUCUAGUUCCUCCAUUAAGAAAGUUCUCCUUUAUAGCUUCAUUUUCUUUACUUAAAUAUCUUGAUAUUAGUAAACGAUCUUGCGCUAGCAAAAAUUUUUCCCAAUUAUACUUUUCUUCUACUAUUCUAUACAUGGAUGUAUGCCAGUGAUGACCUUUUCGGAGAAAGAAUUAAGGAAGAGGUAGUAGAAGUUGAAGUCGCUGAUCAAUCACCUUCCAUAUCAAGGUCAAUCACUACCUUAGACCAAAUAUUAGAAGCAAAUGGAGAAGAUGAAGAUCAAAUAGAUGAAGAAGCAAGCUUUGAAGGCAAAAUUUCAAGUGGAGAGACAGAUGGCAUAACUUUCAAAAUCUCUUAAGCUGCCAAACAAUUUAUUGAGGAGUUGGAAAGGGAAUCUUGUGGUGGAUCCUAUCAUGAUUCUGCGGCUUCACAGAUAAUUGAUGAUCAAAUAUUCACCAACUCAAAAAAGGAGACUCAUCCUAAUGAAAUUUUCCUAUCUUAUGGGGUUGCGUUAGAAGGAACGGGUUCUAAAAUCUUGAAGUGUGGAGUUUCAAACAUUUCCAUCACCAAUGUAUUUAUGGAUUAUAUAAUUUUUGAGGAGCUAAGAGAAAGAGAGGCCUGAAAAUUGAAAAGCACGAAGCUCAACAAAAAGAUAAUUUAUGUGUUUGGCAAAGGCCAAUGAGGACUAUUGUCAAGCCAAAUCGUUGUAAAGAUGGAAACUAUUUCAAUACAUAUACUUGCUUAUUUGCAGGGCAAAUCAUUGAGAAGAAAUCUUCAUUUUUUGAAAAAGCAAUGAAAGUUAACAAAAACUAUUGAUAUCUUUAGCAAAGCAUGCUUCAAAGCUUCAUUUGAGUUCUAUUGCAACAAGUUUGAGGUAGCUUCCAAAAAAUCACAUUAAGGGGGAGUGUAAAAAAUAUUGAAGUAGAUUUUUUGAAAUCAUAGUUUUUCUAGUAAAGUUUUGAGAGUUGUCUAGUGUAAUAUCUUGGACAUGCAUCUUUCAGAAUCAUCUGAAUAUUCUAGAGUAGUGCUAGAAGAUAAAAUUUACUAAAAUUUUCUCAUAGAAUUAUCUAGAAGAAUUUCUAGAAGCCAUUCUUGGAAAAGUAUAUAUAGGGAUGAUAUUGUACAUUUGUAACAAACUCAUAGUAAAUCUAAUUCAAGUAGUCUUUUUGUGUAACCAAGUUGCUUUUACAAAAUUUUUCUUCUCUUUUCUAACUUCCUCUACUUAGUUAAAUUUUCUGACCUUAGUUAAUGAUAUUUAGCUAGCAGAUGGACUCCCCAAUUAUACUUUUCUUCUUUUAUUCUCUACAUCAUGUAGCAAAGCAGAAGAAACUAGCCUAAAUCGUUUACUAAGAUCGAAAGAUUCAACUAAAGAAGAGGAAAUUAGAAAGGAGAACUUUCUUAAUGGAAGAACUAGAAUUGACAUGAAUUGGUUUUUCUUGGGUUUCUAAAAAUGACUAAGGCCACUCCUAUUUAUGCUUGUGUAGGAUGGAUUUAGAUGUUAUUCUGGAUACAUCUACAAGAACAUCUAUUAGAGCAACCUCGAACUUUAUUUUCUAGCAAUCUAAGAAUAAUCUAGAUAACUUCUCUUUCUAGCUAUCUAAGAAUACUCAAGAUUUUUCUUAGAAAUGAUUUAUUUUAGAUACUACACUAGUGUAUUCUAGAAAUUUAACUAGAAAAUUUAUGAUUCCAAAAAAUCCAUUUUAACAUUUUUCACAGAAAGUGGACAGCAAAAUAGACGAACGUAGAGAGGGAAUAGAGUAUAUGGAAAAAAAUCCAUUUUAAUAUUUUUCACAGAAAGUCGACAGGAAAAUAGCCGAAUGUAGAGAGUUAAUAGAGUAUUUGCGAUAACAAAUCACAUAAAAGCCACUGCAAGGUUUGUUUCUAACUAGGCACAGCAUAACUUAUUUUCCUAUUGGAAGUAGGAGCCACGGAAGUAGGUGAAACAGCAGACUGUGGUAAAUAAGAGUGAAGAAUACAAGAAGAAGUGGUCCUGCUAUCAGUUCAAACCAGCAAUUGUUUAUUGGUGCGUCCCACGCACCCGUACAUCUUAGUUAAAACUAUGUAUAUAUAGUAAGUGUGUAUUAAAAAGGGAAUUUAUAUUAAACUUUUCACCUGAAUGAGAAAGUUUGAAAUGUACCCAUGGUACAGGGCAACACAUGUCGCCCUAGUGAUGAGGGUUUGAUGUUGUUUUGUAGCACUACUUUUCUUUCUCGAAGUUUAAGAAAAUAAAACCUCUUAUUCCUACAAAAAGAAAAAUUGGACGGUUUAGGUAUUGAUCUCAGAAUAUCUAAAGGAGAGCAUUACUAAAUAUGCAUAUUUGAUUGAUUUUUCUAUAAUAAGAAAAAUGAUAAUAGACCGAAAGGUAACCUAAAAUUAAAAGAACUGAUCUAAAGGAGAACAUUACUAAAAUUGCAUAUUCGAUCGAUUUGUCUAUAAAAAGUAAAAAAAAUAUAAACAAUCCGAAUCGUAACCAAAUUUUUAAAAACUCGACCCGUUUUUACUAUUUGGACAAUGUGGCACGCAAAACCUACAAAUGCUGGAUUCAUCGCCGCUGAUACUCACGAAAGAACAAAAAAGUUUCAGGCAUAAACCAUUUACAACAGUCAUUCCCAUAGCCAGUAAGCAAUAUUUCUUUUUGAUAUACAACUUCUAGAAAAAAGUUUUCCCAACAAAAAUUUUUCCACACACAUAAAGGAAGUUUGUUUCAUUUUUUAGAAUUUUCCAUUUAAAGAACCAAUGAAAGAUUCAGUAUUUGAUUUUAAUAGUUAUUAUCUCUCUCGGUGCAUGUUAGCAUAAUGUGCGCACCAUGGGGAGGAGAACGUGAUUACCUAGCCGGAGAGCCAUAAAAGCACAGGAAAACACUAUGAAGAUGACUGCACAGCUGAAGAAGAAGGGAAUUCCGGCGACUCUAGUAAAAAUUAUGGUUCGUACUGAAGGAAUUGACGAAUUGGGGAUACAAAAAAUAGAGGGGUUCUUGAACAUGGAAAAGUAUGUGAAUUAAUCGGAAGAUGAAUCAGAGGUAGCUGUUAUGGAUAAUCUACCUUCUCAGUUAGAAAUUGAUGUUGCAAUUGUAGGAAACUCCAAUGGAAUAGUGUUGUUUGGUCAAAAAGAUGUAGUUCUUAUGGGAUAUAAUUUUCGACUGUUAUGCAAGAAUGAGAGAAAAUAACCUAGUCUCCUAGCUAUAGAAAGAGAUCUUGGGCAGAUGAAGUUGAAGCUGAGAUGGAAGUUUAGAGCAAAACCAUCAAUUUGGGAAAAUUUUAAUAUUACUAGGGUUUCUAAUGCUGGUUUCAAGUUGGAUUUGUGCAUCCCAAUAGGCAAGGCACAUCAUCUAUUUGUGAAAUUAAGCUUGAGGAUAUUACUUCAGAGAUUGAAUUCUGGAGGAAUGUUGUGGUUUGCUAUGUGUUGGGGGCACAUCCCCUUUUUCCGUUCUAAAUGGGUAUAUUCACAGACAAUAGGGAAAUCAUGGUGUGAAUAAAGUAUCCAUGCUCAAAAAUGAUAUAUUGUUCAUUAGGUUUUUUCACUCUAGAGGGGAAAAAUAAAGUGCUACAAAGGGAAUUUUUCAUUUUGACAAUAAGCCAUUCAUUGUCAAGGCCUGGACAGAGGACAUAGAGUUUACAAGAGAAGAGUUACAUACUAUUCCUAUUUAGGGUUAAAUUACCUGGAUUGGACUUUGUGUACUGGGACCAAAAGGCUUGAGUAAAAUAUGGAGCCUAAUAGGAAAGCCUCUGGUGGUUGAUAGGAAUAUGGAGAAACAAAUUAGUUUGAACUUUGCUCGAUUACUAAUAGAGGUGGAUGUUGAUACACCUUCACCUAAUAAGGUGUACUUCAGGACUGAAAAAUGAGUGCUUAUUGAACAAAAAAUAUUGUAUGAUGGAAACCGGUGUUAUGCAAAUGUUGUAAAAAAUAUGGGCAUGCUGAGGCUGAUUGUAGAAAGAAGUAGAAUGUGGGAGCAGGGGAGUGUUUAGAAUGUGGGAGCAGGUGAGUGUUUACACCUAAUUUUUAUUUUCACGAUUAAAUUUAAUUUGAGUUUCUUCAAUUUAAAAUAAAAUUAUAAUAUUUAUUUUAUUC
This 38490-nucleotide long non-coding RNA is filed under the name Capsicum annuum. RNAcentral's name for it is "long non-coding RNA (CANN_LNC001301)". Lineage: Eukaryota; Viridiplantae; Streptophyta; Magnoliopsida; Solanales; Solanaceae. The record is from RNAcentral.